This 622-nucleotide ribosomal RNA is filed under the name Planococcus sp. D3p0. RNAcentral's name for it is "bacterial SSU rRNA". It matches the Rfam family "Bacterial small subunit ribosomal RNA", at positions 28 to 634 of the family's 1533-position model. The record is from RNAcentral. Lineage: Bacteria; Bacillati; Bacillota; Bacilli; Caryophanales; Caryophanaceae.
GAAAGAAGCUGGCGGCGUGCCUAAUACAUGCAAGUCGAGCGGAGAAUUUGGAGCUUGCUCCAACUUCUUAGCGGCGGACGGGUGAGUAACACGUGGGCAACCUGCCCUGCAGAUCGGGAUAACUCCGGGAAACCGGUGCUAAUACCGAAUAGUUUGUUCCACCUCCUGGUGGAACACGGAAAGACGGUUUCGGCUGUCACUGCAGGAUGGGCCCGCGGCGCAUUAGCUAGUUGGUGGGGUAAUGGCCCACCAAGGCGACGAUGCGUAGCCGACCUGAGAGGGUGAUCGGCCACACUGGGACUGAGACACGGCCCAGACUCCUACGGGAGGCAGCAGUAGGGAAUCUUCCGCAAUGGACGAAAGUCUGACGGAGCAACGCCGCGUGAGUGACGAAGGUUUUCGGAUCGUAAAACUCUGUUGUGAGGGAAGAACAAGUACCAACUAACUACUGGUACCUUGACGGUACCUCACCAGAAAGCCCGGCUAACUACGUGCCAGCAGCCGCGGUAAUACNUAGGUGGCAAGCGUUGUCCGGAAUUAUUGGGGCGUAAAGCGCGCNCANGCGGNCCCUUAANUCUGAUGUNAAANCCCACGGCUCAACCGUGNANGGUCAUUGNAAACU